Long non-coding RNA from Cololabis saira (Pacific saury), 248 nucleotides. RefSeq lists it as uncharacterized. The transcript is spliced from 3 exons. The record is from RefSeq and is a predicted model, not a curated record. NCBI's taxonomy places the organism in Eukaryota, Metazoa, Chordata, Actinopteri, Beloniformes, Belonidae.
UUCUGUUACUGCAGCCCCGCCGCAAGUGCUGCCCUCUGCUGGCAGAAAGCAGAACCUACAGCUCAAACAGUCUGCCGCUGACGCUGAAAUUCAGCUUCAUUCAUCUUCAGAGAACCCCCAAAGGAGAAUGAAUAACCUGGGGAACGUAUAUGCACUCUCACCACUGCAACGCAGGCAACAAACAGGACCUCAUCUUCCAACAAGACCCCAAACAAGUAAUCUUCCAGCAUCUCCUCACUGCUUUCCUC